AUACGUAGGGGGCGAGCGUUGUCCGGAAUGAUUGGGCGUAAAGGGCGCGUAGGCGGCGCGGUAAGUCUGGAGUGAAAGUCCUGCUUUCAAGGUGGGAAUUGCUUUGGAUACUGCCGCGCUUGAGUGCAGGAGAGGUUAUCGGAAUUCCCGGUGUAGCGGUGAAAUGCGUAGAGAUCGGGAGGAACACCAGUGGCGAAGGCGCGUAACUGGACUGCAACGGGCGCUGAGGCGCGAAAGUGUGGCGAGCAAACAGGAUUAGAUACCCUGGUAGUCCACGCUGUAAACGAUGAAUGCUAGGUGUAAGAGGUAUCGACCCCAUGUGCGCCUGAGUCAAAACAAUACGGAUUCCGGCUGGCGCGUACGGUCUCAAGGCGGAUACUCAAAGGAAUUGACGGGG
Molecule: ribosomal RNA, 397 nt
Filed under: uncultured bacterium
Lineage: Bacteria
Description: partial 16S ribosomal RNA
Rfam family: Bacterial small subunit ribosomal RNA
Source: RNAcentral